GGUGAAUAUAUUGAUGGGGCUUUUAGAAAAUGUUUACAAAGAGGCACGAACUGCAAGCUCAGAGGCAAUGAAUUGGAGCUCAUUGUAUGAUUGGUGGAAGAAACACUCUACUUUUGGAUGUUGUAUCCGAUGAGAUCCAGAUAAAUGUUUACUAAAAUAAAUGCCAAAUCUGUAAUGGCGAAGCAGGUGAACUUGAUGAGGAUAUUUCCUUCGGGGAAAUCUAAGGGUAAGGUAGACAUUUAGAGCUCGCACACCUGGUGGUUUUUAACAGAGGAACUUGAUGAGGACAUUUGACAGCGUGAAAUAACAGCAUUGCGAAGACACCUAAAAAUGGUGGAGGCGUCAAAUCAAAUUUUUGAAAAUGGUACAUAUCAUCCUUUUACACGACAGUACCAAUAAUAACUCUGGCAGCGAAGACUGUAAAAAACCGUGAAAAAAAAUCAGAUACAAAUCGACGGUGGCAUAUGAAAAUAGCGAACAAAAAUCAAUGAAAGUGCGAACAGAUGAUAACGGAGGUAAAUGGUGGAGACGUCAAAUCAAAUUUUUGAAAAUGGUACAUCUUAUCCUUUUACACGACAGGAACAGUAAUAACUCUGCCAGUCUUCACUGUAAAAAUUGAAAAAAAAAAUCAGAUACAAAUCGACGGCGGCAUAUGAAAAUAGCGAACAAAAAUCAAUGAAAGUGCGAAUAGAUAUAACGGAGGGCUCUUGCAUUGUCUUAGAUAGCAUAUCAACCGUAAAUGCUGAACAUGAGGCUGUCUCUUAUAAUGAAAAUAGCGAACAAAAAUCAAUGAAAGUGCGAAUAGAUAUAACGGAGGGCUCUUGCAUUGACUUAGAUAGCAUAUCAACCGUAAAUGCUGAACAUGAGGCUGUCCAUUUCAUAUAAGAAACGCCAUAUUUUUCUCUUCAAGGAUUCCUUGAGGUAUAAGGAUUAGAUGAGUCAAAUUUGUUCAUUGAGGUAUGCUAUACCCUUUCACUAGGUAAUUAUAUUUGAUGAACAAUAAUUAAUUAA
Cryptomeria japonica (Japanese cedar) is the source of this 1011-nucleotide long non-coding RNA. RefSeq lists it as uncharacterized. The record is from RefSeq and is a predicted model, not a curated record. Lineage: Eukaryota; Viridiplantae; Streptophyta; Pinopsida; Cupressales; Cupressaceae. The transcript has 2 exons.